This 23-nucleotide transfer RNA is filed under the name Coffea kimbozensis. Its description in RNAcentral is "partial tRNA-Phe". RNAcentral also lists the same sequence under 1 other name. The record is from RNAcentral. Lineage: Eukaryota; Viridiplantae; Streptophyta; Magnoliopsida; Gentianales; Rubiaceae.
GGAUAGCUCAGAUGGUAGAGCAG